AACGAACGCUGGCGGCAUGCCUAACACAUGCAAGUCGAACGAGACCUUCGGGUCUAGUGGCGCACGGGUGCGUAACGCGUGGGAACCUGCCCUUAGGUUCGGAAUAACUCCCCGAAAGGGGUGCUAAUACCGGAUAAUGUCUUCGGACCAAAGAUUUAUCGCCUUUGGAUGGGCCCGCGUUGGAUUAGCUAGUUGGUAGGGUAAAAGCCUACCAAGGCGACGAUCCAUAGCUGGUCUGAGAGGAUGAUCAGCCACACUGGGACUGAGACACGGCCCAGACUCCUAGGGGAGGGAGCAGGGGGGAAUAUGGGAAAGGGGGCGAAAGCCGGACCCAGAAAGGCCGGGGGAGUGAUGAAGGCUUUGGGGUUGAAAAGCUCUUUUACCCGGGAUGAAAAGGAAAGUACCGGGGGAAAAAGCCCCGGCAAACCCCGU
Molecule: ribosomal RNA, 432 nt
Filed under: uncultured bacterium
Lineage: Bacteria
Description: partial 16S ribosomal RNA
Rfam family: Bacterial small subunit ribosomal RNA
Source: RNAcentral